Octopus bimaculoides (California two-spot octopus) is the source of this 958-nucleotide long non-coding RNA. NCBI's taxonomy places the organism in Eukaryota, Metazoa, Mollusca, Cephalopoda, Octopoda, Octopodidae. The record is from RefSeq and is a predicted model, not a curated record.
UUUAUUUAUAAGAUAUUCCCUAGAUAUCAUAAUCGAGAAGAAAUAUGUUUUAUUCUUUUAUUCUUUCAUUCUUUUUUUUUUUUCAAAGCAUUCUCUAAUGUUUGCCAAAAUUGCAACUGGUAAGAUAAUUGGAAGAAGAAGAAACGAAGCAGAGACCGAUUCUUUGAUAUUUCAACACUCCAGUUUUAGGAGAAUGGGAACAAAAAGAAAAAAAAAAUUAAAAAUAGAGGCAAACGAAACUGAUGAAAGCAACAGAAAGUGAUGCAAUGAUUACUUCUACCUGUAGUCUGAAGGAAACCACACCUUUCUCAUCAGUGGAAGAGAAUGUGUAUUUAUAUGUCAUCAAAUUUAACCAUCAGGUCAGCGAGUGACGUGCAGUAUCUCUUGUUAAUGCUUUUAAACGUCACAAGAUUACAAUAUCGAUCAUUGAAGUAACACGCGGUUGCACCAACAUAUACAAAUGCAUCUGCUGUACAUUUGUAUAUCACGUUUUUAUGAAGGCAUAUAUUUCCCGGAGGAUAGGCGUCCCUGUUUUUAGAAUUACAUUUCUUUAUCACAUUAUUUUCUAGUCCAUAACUACUAGUUUUCUCUUACAGUUCUAUAUUUAAGAGAUGAGGGAUUAUUUACAUUAUUUACAUUAUUUACAUUUGACGGAUAUUUGUCCUCAUCUUGUUUGUUGUUAACACAACGUUUCGGCUGAUAUACCCUCCACGGGCAUAUGGCGUAGAAACCAGCUCCUUCUUUCACGAAGAUUUCAAAUAAUUAAAAAUAGAGAACAUGUAUAUGCGCGCGCGCACGCGUGUGUAUAUAUAGUUGAAAUUUAUAGAAAAACAAAAGACGAAGACAAGCAUAUGAACAACAAACAAGUGUAUUGGUUUGACGCUCGGGAAAUAUGAAAACGUCUUUUUACAUUUCGAGUCUACGCUCUUCAACAGAAAAGAAUAAGUGGAAAUAAAAA